Molecule: long non-coding RNA, 1640 nt
Organism: Brassica napus (rape)
Lineage: Eukaryota; Viridiplantae; Streptophyta; Magnoliopsida; Brassicales; Brassicaceae
Exons: 3
Source: RefSeq, a predicted model, not a curated record
UAUUUAUUAUAACUAAUUUUAAAUAUUUUUUCAAUUAAUAUUUAUUAAAACUAUUUUUAAAUAUGUUUUUUUUUUAAUUUACAGGUCUACUGGUGAUCAGACUCGGUCUCGAUCUCGUCGUGCCUCACCACGAGGUCGUAGUGGUACGGGGAGCCACUCUCAGGGUUCGUCCAGCCACUCUCGGUGGUCGAGCAGCCACUGUCGGGAUUCUUCAUUUCCCGCUCCGGUUCUUGCUCCCGCUGCUGCACCCCUUCCCGUUGCUGCACCCCCUCCCGUUGCUGCACCCCCUCCCACUGCUGCACCCCCUCCCGCUCCUCCAGUCGUUCCGGGAGUGAUGACUGUUGCCCAGUUGGUUCAACAACCCGGUCGUGAGCAUCUUCUCUAUCUCACUCCGUUUCCAAAGGGACGACGUCAAACAUGGUAAUUAAAAGUCUUUUUUUUUUCCUUUCAUUAAAAUUUGAUUCAUUAUUAAUAAUUUGUUUCUUAUAUUAGGUUCAACCGAUCCGGGAACGGGAUCAGCGGAUGGAUCAACAAUAUUAUGUACUCGAACCUCAGCAAGGGAUAUCCGACUUUCACUCACUUCUCUGCCGAGGACCAGGAGAUGUGGUUUCGUCAGUUUGCGCAAGAGUUCACGUGGAAUCCCGAUCACACAAACUUUAUCCAUGACACCUUCGUCCAUAAAGUUAUGGACAACUAUGGGAAGCAGAUCUACGAGUAGAAGCAGAAGUGGCUCAUCAACCAGGUCCCGAAGUCGAUCAACAACACGGUCUGAGAGGAGUUGUGUGUGCAUUGGGAUAAUGACGAGACGAAAGCUACCUCCGUGACCAACUCCACCAGCCGCAAGAGCGAUCGUGGCGGGAAGGGCAUGUACAAGCACAAUUUGAGUGCCCAGACUAUUGUCACUCUGGGGGAUCGCUUGGUAAGUUCAAUCUCUUUUUUUUUUUAAUUAUUUAAGUAUUUUUAUUUUAUUUUUUAUGCAUUUCUUCUAAUUUCUAAUGUUUGUUUAACUUUUGUUUUUUCAAGGCGGAUGAAAAUGAUGGCCAGCCGGUUGAUGAUUUCGUUCUAAUGAAGACGGCGCAUACCAACAAGCACACCGGAGAGAUUGAUGAUGGUGUUGUGAGGGAUGUGCUCAGCCUGAUCGAAACUUAGAAGGAAGACGAAGAGACCCGUCUAUCUCAGCUUCAAACCGACCUGGACGCCACUUCGACGGCUUCGACUAACUUGUCCCGGAUUCGAACAACGAAAUCGUUGAAUCAGUAUGUUCUUUAUAAAAAAUUUCAAUUCAUUUAUUUCUUUAUUUUCAUUUUAUCAUCUUUUCUAUUAUUUAAAUUUGUUUAUUUUCUAUUUCAAUCGGUUCCAAAGAAGAAGGGACGUUUGAUCGGUUUGGGUCAUCGAGCCCGGUCGGUUCCUCCUUCUGCACCACAGUCCUAUGUUGAUCCAGAAGGGCUUAUAGACCAGUUGAAUGACAAAGAUGACCGCAUAGCUGUGUUGGAGCAAAAGAUGGCGGAUCAAGAGGUGGGAUGGGAGGCAACGAGGAAGCAGAACGAGCAAAUGAUGGAGAUGAUGAAGAGGAUGUACCCGAACGAGCAGUUCCCGUAGUUUCUUUCUUUUUUUUUCAAAAACUCUGAAUGUUUUAUUUU